Molecule: ribosomal RNA, 164 nt
Filed under: uncultured bacterium
Lineage: Bacteria
Description: partial 16S rRNA
Rfam family: Bacterial small subunit ribosomal RNA
Source: RNAcentral
UAGGGAAUCUUCCACAAUGGACGAAAGUCUGAUGGAGCGACGCCGCGUGAGUGAAGAAGGGUUUCGGCUCGUAAAACUCUGUUGUUAAAGAAGAACAUAUCUGAGAGUAACUGUUCAGGUGUUGACGGUAUUUAACCAGAAAGCCACGGCUAACUACGUGUCAG